UACGGAGGGUGCAAGCGUUAAUCGGAAUUACUGGGCGUAAAGCGCACGUAGGUGGUUUGUUAAGCCAGCUGUGAAAUCCCCGGGCUCAACCUGGGCACUGCAGUUGGAACUGGCAAGCUAGAGUAGGGUAGAGGGGUGUGGAAUUCCAGGUGUAGCGGUGAAAUGCGUAGAUAUCUGGAGGAACAUCAGUGGCGAAGGCGACACCCUGGACUCAUACUGACACUGAGGAGCGAAAGCCAGGGGAGCAAACGGG
This 253-nucleotide ribosomal RNA is filed under the name uncultured bacterium. Its description in RNAcentral is "partial 16S ribosomal RNA". It matches the Rfam family "Bacterial small subunit ribosomal RNA", at positions 524 to 776 of the family's 1533-position model. The record is from RNAcentral.